Molecule: long non-coding RNA, 1298 nt
Organism: Girardinichthys multiradiatus
Lineage: Eukaryota; Metazoa; Chordata; Actinopteri; Cyprinodontiformes; Goodeidae
Exons: 2
Source: RefSeq, a predicted model, not a curated record
GCACAACAAGCAAAGCUCCUCCUAUCGCCAGCUGACCAACACCAUUUGACUGCCAAACCACAUGAGGUCACAGAAAGUUUGGAAAUGGGGAAUUCAUUUGAACGCCUCCUCCUGGUCAUCUCACCAACCUUCCCAGCAAAUAGAUCUCCUCAGUGAUCAGAUGUUGCAAAGGAAACAAACAGAGCGGUCGUGCUGCAGAGACAGUGUGUUUAAAUCCCAGCUGAGUUACUGGAACAUGUAAGAGUGUGCAGAUUUUCACGUGAUUUCCAUCAGAGAGCAGAGGAAGUGACAGAGCCAGAGAGCAGGUGGCUGGAUUCUGCUUUAGAGACCAGGAGAGAAGUUCCAUCAUCCAGGAGGAGCUUGGAGUAGAGCUGCUGCUGCUCCACCACCUAAGAAGGAAUCAGCUGAGAUUCAUCUGAUGAGGAUGACAUCACAUCCCUUCUCACCAGGGAGCACCUUAGGAUCCUCAAGGAGGAGCAGGGUAGAGGGAUAUCUGGGUUUCCUUCUGGAGGUCUUACACCUGAGUGAAGUUGAUUCCCUCUCGCCAUCUCAUUCUUCUUAUUUGAUUUUUUGAAUCUAUCAAAACUGUUAUCAAUGGUUGUACAGCUUACAUUUUAAAGAUACAAAAAGUUUACAGAGGCUGUACCUUUAGGGGUAAACUUUAAAGAAAGAGCUGCAGUGUUUUCCCUCAAGGCGAGUGCUAAGUGACUGCUGAGUGUGUGUGCGAGCACAUGGAGGCGUCACGUGACACAGAUAGUUCAUGACAGACAGGAGCAAUGAUCAGGCAUGAAGUACCUUCAAACAGGGAAGGCAAUCCAGGAAGUGGGAAAACCACAGAGCAAAAGGAAAUAUAGCAGACAUUCAUUUUAGAUGUUUCAGGAAACCUCCUUUUAAAGUUUAAUUUGAAAUAUUAUUUUUUUGUUUUCUUGUGAAUUUCAGAUGCAUUUGACUCAGCAGUUUGCCUCACACCCGUGUGUCCCAGCAGGUGUGCCUUCUCCUUAAUUUCUUUAGUUCUCCUCAUUGCUUUACCUGGUCUGCUCUCUGCGGUUGCUACUGGUUUUAUUAGGAUUCCUGCACACGCACCAGCUCCUGUUUUCCAAGAAUUAUAACACUCCUUUGUUUCCUAACCAGCGAUUAUGUCAGUUACUCUGUGCUGUUCAGAAGAAUUUCUUCAUUGUUUGGAUUAUAAACCAAAAAUCAAGAUGUGAUAAAAAUAUGCAGCCGGCUCAUUUUUCUGCUGAUAUCAAAACAAAUAUGUAAAACAUUUUAGGUACUAAUAAAGGUUUUAUGGAAACCUG